UCAGAGCGAAUCGACGGGAGCUUGCUCCCUGAGAUUAGCGGCGGACGGGUGAGUAACACGUGGGCAACCUGCCUAUAAGACUGGGAUAACUUCGGGAAACCGGAGCUAAUACCGGAUACGUUCUUUUCUCGCAUGAGAGAAGAUGGAAAGACGGUUUACGCUGUCACUUAUAGAUGGGCCCGCGGCGCAUUAGCUAGUUGGUGAGGUAAUGGCUCACCAAGGCGACGAUGCGUAGCCGACCUGAGAGGGUGAUCGGCCACACUGGGACUGAGACACGGCCCAGACUCCUACGGGAGGCAGCAGUAGGGAAUCUUCCGCAAUGGACGAAAGUCUGACGGAGCAACGCCGCGUGAACGAAGAAGGCCUUCGGGUCGUAAAGUUCUGUUGUUAGGGAAGAACAAGUACCAGAGUAACUGCUGGUACCUUGACGGUAC
This 434-nucleotide ribosomal RNA is filed under the name Lysinibacillus macroides. RNAcentral describes it as "bacterial SSU rRNA". It matches the Rfam family "Bacterial small subunit ribosomal RNA", at positions 62 to 478 of the family's 1533-position model. Lineage: Bacteria; Bacillati; Bacillota; Bacilli; Caryophanales; Bacillaceae. The record is from RNAcentral.